Molecule: transfer RNA, 74 nt
Filed under: Schistocerca americana (American grasshopper)
Lineage: Eukaryota; Metazoa; Arthropoda; Insecta; Orthoptera; Acrididae
Description: tRNA-Tyr
Rfam family: tRNA
About the family: Transfer RNA (tRNA) molecules are approximately 80 nucleotides in length. Their secondary structure includes four short double-helical elements and three loops (D, anti-codon, and T loops).
Source: RNAcentral
CCUCUGGUAGCUCCAGUUGGUAGAGCGGUGGACUGUAGAUCCAUAGGUCGCUGGUUCAAAUCCGGCCCAGAGGA